GGGAAGGGAAGGGAAGGCAAGGGAAGGGAGAGGGAGCGCCCAGAUCCACGGCGGCAUCAGCGCGCCGUCCUCGACCUAAUCCGCGUCCGUCCACACAUGGGAGCUAAUCAACGCAGUAAAUCCCCGUCCCCGCGUCCGAGCCCCGCCACCCUUCGCAACGGCUCGACCGCCCAUCGACGCGCUGCCCACGCGGCGCCGACCAGUUCGGCUCUCAUGGCUGGUGGACGCGCCCUUGCUGUUGCCGAUGCCAGCUCGCUGUGCCGCACUGGCCCUCACAAGCGUCUUCUGUCAAUGGUUACAACUCACGUUCCUCUCUAUUUUCUCUUUAAAUUUUCUUUUGAGUCGGCCAGGAAGCAAGAACAUGUCGACUGACAUGACAAUUGAAGAUGAUUUGAGGAAUUUUUCCGUGUUUGGUAGAUGGACUUGAGAGGUCAAGGAGUUUCCAUUGGGACAUCGGGACAUGCUCCUCCAUCUCCUUUUAUGGACGACAUCCAACAUCGCCAGUUCAUGCACUUAUGGACUGAAGAAAAAAAUGGAAAUGAAGAAGAAAAGAAUAGCAAUAUUAUCAUAUGCGAGUCUAACAAACAUCUUGGAGGUGUGAAUGCUUUCUUGGGUCUGACAAGUAAUCAAUAAUUGAUGGUAUACUGGGAUUUUCCUCAUACUUCUAGCACUUCCUCAUUGACAAUAAAGCAAGUACUAUCACAACAAAGGCUAUCCAGGUAUUUUUUUUCAACUAUAAUCCUUCCAGCUUUAGGGACUGCUCAAUUGGAUCUGCACAAUCCAACAAAAUAAAUGUGCAUAGAGUCUGCGACACUUUCUUCCGAUCAUCACGAAGGUAGUUGUAGGAGUAAAAAAGUAUGUCAUACUGUUUUUUCAGUUCAAGCCAAAAGGCUAGGACAGGUAAUACUUGUUUUUACAGUACUUGUGCAAAAAGUAUGUCAUACUGUUUGCUCUAGAUGAUUUUGAUGACUUUCACAACCUUAUUUUCCGUUGUAUACCCCAAGAAAUGGUUUGCUUUCAUAGGGUUUAUUGAAUCCAGGAAAGAACUGUGAGUAGUAGCGAACCAGAAAUGAAAAGUUUCAGAGAACUACGAAAACUCCGGUCAGUUUUGUCGGGAUCUUGUGACACAGUUCCAGGACUCUAUUGACUAAGGUAAUGAUAUAUAUGUGUGAUUUAUCUUGUUAAAACUUUUAGUGUUCACUUAGAGGUGAGUGCAACGAGUAACUGAAUUUAGACUACGAACUAGAGUAUGACAGUAAAGUUAGGAGCAUGAUGGAGAACACAUGGGACAUUGAGGACUAAUGGUCAACACUUAAAUCUUGCUUUACAUAUAGUUCAGUUCCAAGUAGUCUGAUACAUAGAUGGCGAGGGGAGUGCUGAUUUGGGGUUGAUUUUGGUAAUUAUAUAUUUUCCUUGAUGACUAUCAUUUUGUUGUCCUACAUGUGCUAUAUGAUAUGCAUAACAACUUGAGAGCACCUUUGCUUCUCUUGAUGUGCUUCGUCAUACCGUUUUUUAAAGUGCACAAGCAAGCUUGCAAGUGAUGACAACUACUAUGACCUACAACCUUGAAUCUAGGUUUUUGGGGUUGAACAUAGGGGCACAACACGCUCCCUCGUCUAACUAGUGAAGCGUAAUGAAGGAAAAGCUACAGUAUACAAAUCAUUACCGUCAUUCAGUUUGUCCAAAACUAAGAAAAGCUCUUUAAAAAAACUGGGAAAAGCUCACGUGAUGGAAUGAGAUGAGAUUUCAACAUCAUGAUUGCGUUUUAUAAUUUGAACGACCAAAGUAGAUGGUCCAGUCAGCCCGUGUUUGACAAUAUGAAGGGACAAACUUGUUGAUCCAUUAUCUGGCCAGGAUAAUACAAUAAUUCAGAGGGCUUAGAUAUGGAUAAUAGAUCUGACCUAAUCUAGCAAGGUGAGUGACUCAAUUGCACAUGUGCAAAAUGGAAGUUUAAACUGAUGAAAGUCCUUUUGCGAUGACAAUGAUAGAGAAGAUUUGAAAGAUCUUGGUUGGCGUGGGGCAACUUGUGUUCCUGGAUGGGGGCGCCGUCCGGUGGCAGUGGGGUGUGGCAGUUGCCGCAGCUGGGCACAACCGGGAGUCCACCUAUCCAGAACAUCCAACUAUUUCAUCUGGUGAACUGCGAAGAGCUUCUGUGUGCAUCUCCGUUAUGUUUAACUACGACAGGCUUAUGUUAUCUUAUCGCGGACUCAUUUUUCAGUUUGUGCCCAACGUGACUGCAUGUAAAUAUGUAAUAUAGCAAUUUUGUUCUUCCUUUUUGUUGUUCGAUUGACUCUGUAUACCAUCUCAAAUGUCAUUCCCUUUAUAGCUAGCACAUCAUCUCCAAAGAAUUUAUUUAAGUUGAAAUCCAGUAAUUAUAUGUUGAUCGCAUAAGCAGGCUGAUGGUAUCUUCGUCGAAUUUUUUUAUUCCUUCUCUAUGGAACUAAAACUGUUCUUUCCUGAAUAGAUUGGAUCGCAAAGAACUAAACCUAUGUACAAUGUCUCUAGGCAUAUUCUGAAUUUGCAGAAUUAGCACAAACCUAAAAGCAUAUAUGCAGCUCCCAGAUGUUGCGGGCUAGAGGAAGGGCAGCAC
Molecule: ribosomal RNA, 2590 nt
Filed under: Triticum aestivum (bread wheat)
Lineage: Eukaryota; Viridiplantae; Streptophyta; Magnoliopsida; Poales; Poaceae
Description: partial small subunit ribosomal RNA
Source: RNAcentral